This 343-nucleotide unclassified non-coding RNA is filed under the name soil metagenome. RNAcentral describes it as "partial contains 5.8S ribosomal RNA, internal transcribed spacer 2, and large subunit ribosomal RNA". The stretch from base 1 to 120 matches the Rfam family "5.8S ribosomal RNA", at positions 35 to 154 of the family's 154-position model. The record is from RNAcentral.
GAUGAAGAACGCAGCGAAAUGCGAUACGUAAUGUGAAUUGCAGAAUUCAGUGAAUCAUCGAAUCUUUGAACGCACAUUGCGCCCGCCAGCAUUCUGGCGGGCAUGCCUGUUCGAGCGUCAUUUCAACCCUCGACCUCCCCUUGGGGAGGUCGGCGUUGGGGACCGGCAGCACACCGCCGGCCCUGAAAUGGAGUGGCGGCCCGUCCGCGGCGACCUCUGCGCAGUAAUACAGCUCGCACCGGGACCCCGACGCGGCCACGCCGUAAAACACCCAACUUCUGAACGUUGACCUCGAAUCAGGUAGGACUACCCGCUGAACUUAAGCAUAUCAAUAAGCGGAGGA